RNAcentral lists this non-coding RNA (79 nucleotides) under uncultured Acetatifactor sp. Its description in RNAcentral is "Cyclic di-GMP-I riboswitch". It matches the Rfam family "c-di-GMP-I riboswitch aptamer". Rfam says of the family: GEMM was predicted in a large-scale screen for bacterial structured RNA regulatory elements. Genes associated with GEMM are involved in a diverse array of functions, including chemotaxis regulation, signal transduction, secretion and chitin. The record is from RNAcentral. Lineage: Bacteria; Bacillati; Bacillota; Clostridia; Lachnospirales; Lachnospiraceae.
AGUAAAUAGCAAACUUGUUGAAAGACAAGGACGCAAAGCUGAGGGCCUAAUGUGAAAGCUAUGGUAGCCUGGUUGCCGA